GUUGGCUGUUGCCUCACCCUCCACCUUGGUGAGCUCCUUCACUACACAGCUUCCUAUAGACACAUAUACAACAGUUAUAGUCCAAUACAAUCAACCCU
This is a long non-coding RNA of Haliotis rubra (blacklip abalone), 98 nucleotides long. RefSeq lists it as uncharacterized. The transcript is spliced from 3 exons. Lineage: Eukaryota; Metazoa; Mollusca; Gastropoda; Lepetellida; Haliotidae. The record is from RefSeq and is a predicted model, not a curated record.